Molecule: non-coding RNA, 7993 nt
Organism: Oryctolagus cuniculus (rabbit)
Lineage: Eukaryota; Metazoa; Chordata; Mammalia; Lagomorpha; Leporidae
Source: RefSeq, a predicted model, not a curated record
UUAUCUAAUUUUAAUUAUUUCUUUUUUCCUAUAGUUUUGGGUUUGGUUUGAUGUUCUUCUAGGUGCUUGAUGUAUUGUAGCUCAUUUAUUUGGUACCUUUCCAAUUUCUCAAUGUAGGCACCAAUUGCUGUAAACUUUCCUCUUAACACUGCUUUUGCUGUAUGCUAUAAGCUUUGACAUGUUGUAUUGUCAUCUAUGUUUCCAGAAAUUUUUUGAUUUCUAUUUUGAUUUCUGCUGUGACCCAUUGUUCAUUCAGGAGGAUAUUGUUCAGUCUCCAUGUGUUUGCAUAUGUGCUAGAGAUUCCUGAGUUGUUGAUUUCCACCUUCAUUCCAUUGUGGUCAGAGAAGAUGCAUCGUAUGACUUUGAUUUUUUAAUUUUGCUGAGACUUGCUGUAUGGCCCAGCAUGUGGUCAAUCCUAGAGAAAGUUCCAUGCACUGUUGAGAAGAAUGUAUAUUCUGCGGCUAUAAAAUGGAAAGUUCUGUAGCUAUCUGUUAGGUCCAUUUGGUCUGUAGUGUCAAUUAAUUCUGUUUCCUUGCUGAUUUUCUGUCUGGCUGAUCUGCCCAUUGCUGGGGUAUUGAAAUCCUCUGUUACUAUUGUAUUGGAGUCUAUGUCUCCCUUUGGGUCUGUUAACAUUUCUUUUAAAUAGCCAGGUGACCUGUAAUUAGGUGCAUAUACAUUUAUAAUAGGCACAUCUUCCUGUUGAAUUGAUCCUUAAUCAUUACUUAUGCCCUUCUUUAUCUCUUUCAACAGUUUUUGUUUUAAAAUCUAUUUUGUCUGAUAUUAGAAUGGCUACACCAGCUCUUUUGGUUUCUGAUAGCAUGGAAUAUCUUUUCCAUCCUUUCACUUUUAGUCUGCAUGUAUCUUUCUUGGUGAAAUGUGUUUCUUGUAGGCAGCAAAUAGAUGGGUUUUGCUUUUUUAAUCCAUUUAGCCAGUCUGUGUCUUUUAAUUGGAGAGUUGAGGUCAUUUACAUUUAAGAUAACUAUUGGUAAAUAAUGACUUUCCCUACAAUUUUUCCAUAAAUAUUCCUAAUUUUUACUUAGGAUUUCCUUUGUGCUUUUACUGGGAGAUUUUCUGCCUUCACCUUCUUUCAUAGUGAUGAUCAUGUUUCUGUUUUUCUGUAUGUAGCACAUCUUUAAGCAUAUUUUAAAAAAAGAUUUAUUUAUUUGAAAGAGUUACCCAGAGAGGAGAAGCAGAGAGAGAGAGGUCUUCCAUCCACUGGUUCACUCCCCAAUUGGCUGCAAUGGCCGGAUCUGUGCCAAUCCAAAGCCAGGAGCUUCCUCUGGGUCUCCCAUGUGGGAGGCAGGAGCCCAAGCACUUGGGCCAUCUUCUAUUGCUUUCCCAGGCCACAGCAGAGAGCUAGAUUGGAAGUGGAGCAGCCAGGAUUUGAACUGGCACCCAUAUAGGAUGCUGGCACAGUCCUAGCACACAAGGAUCCCACAGCCAUGGGGCUUUGAGGAUCCACUGUGCCCUGCCAAUCGAUCCUGUCCACAGAGAGGCGGAGAUACUCUCAGAGCCAGCUGCCUGUGGGUCCUCUGCCUAGGCAAUUUGAGCCCAGAGCCUGUGGUGUUUUGGGAGGGUGGGGGCACCUCACAGUCCUACGUGGGUGCCCAGCCCCUGUCAAUCUUCACAGCCAGACUCAGGCAUCUCCCUCUGCUGGUUGCUGGGCACAAGGACACAAGCUGGUACAGCUGUGACAUAAGUCCAAAAUGGUGCCUGCCCUCUCAGCCAGUUGACAGGGGAAUGGGGACAGAGGAACAUCCCCCUUUUUCCCUCUAUGUUGGUGGGUACCUUGUCCCCUACAGGAAUCCAGGCUGGACUCAUGCCAUGCUUUCUCUGCAAUUCUAUCACCAGUGACUUGGGCUGCUGCAGUCUGGUGUCACCUCACUCUCCAAAGCUGGUGCUGAGGCUCUGUUUUUGGGUCCUGUGUUGUGUCCAUGCUCACACUGUGAAUCCACACCCUCACAUAGAACUACAGCAUCCCUCAGAUUGCCCACUCUCCACUUUCAACUAUUCUCCCCUAGCCUAGAGCAGUAAGCUCCCUCCCUAUUCCACCAUCUUGGAAUUUUCUUCAAAUCCAUUUAAUUCUGAUCUGACUACCUUUCUUUGUUUAUGUAUGUCACACAUCCUUAAGAAUUAUUUGUAGGGAGCCAAGUACCUAGACCAUCUUCUGCUGCUUUCCCAGGCCAUUAGCAGGGAGCUGGAUGGGAAAUGGAGCAGCUGGGACUUAAACUGGUGCCCAUAUGAUAUGCCAGCAUUGCAGUGGCACAGGAUAACCUGUUAUGCCUCAGUGCCAGCCCAGCUAUUCCAUUUUCAUAACCAGUGGUCCCACUGGGUUCUGUUGUGUGAUUUCUUCUUUCCUUGCAUGUUGUAAUAUCUUUAUUCAAGUCUUCCAAAAUACAUUUUCAGGAUUAAUUGGAAUUCUUCAUCACUCUCCCACAUGGGUGCAGGAAUUGGGCCAUUCUCCACUGCUUUCCCAGGUCUUAGCAGAUUAGAAACAACGCCCACAUGGGAUGCUGGUGCCUCAGGCAAGGGUAUUAACCUGCUGCACCACAGUGCCGCCCACCCCCCCAUUCCUUUUUUUAAAUGACUAAUUCUUGAAAUGCACACGUCCUCCUAGAUUUCUCCCAGGUUGCUAUCUGGAGAGGGAACUAGCCACCUGGGCUAGCCCUAUUGUGCCUCCAGUUCCAUUCUUUCUUGACUCUCUACCUUUCUUAAUUGCCUGACACAUGGUUGAUUGGUAAAUGAAUAUUCAUGGUCAUUACCAUCCUAACUCCUCAGGUCCCAAUUCUUGAAGCCAAUCAUUUGUAGUCUUGCUAGACAGUGCUAAGUGCAGUUCUGCCUACUUACGCCUAGGCUUCAGGUUAGAGAGACCUAAUUGAGAGACCAUGGGAAGUUUCCCAAAAACAUGUUUUGUCUCCCAAAUAUCUGCUCAAAGAUGACAUUUGAAGUGGAGAAGCUGCAAACUGGCACUGUAUGUGAAAAAAUUUCUGUCUAACCAAAGACAACUGUCACUACCAAAAAGAAGUCUUUGAAACUAAGGGAUGCUGAAUCUCAUCCAAAUACCUCUUAUAUUUGAAGGAGUCUGUGGGCCAUAAAUGAAUUUUGAUCAAAUGAAGAUGCAUUUUACAUGCAAUCCCUCUUGUACUAUCAACCGACAGGAGAUGAUGUCUAAUAGCCUGUAGAAUUAAAGGAGAACAAUCUUGGGUUGAGAGGCAGGAUAGUGUGUUAGGGCCAAUCAGGAAUGGCAAUUCCAGAUCACUCACUGAGUGACCUUGAUAGAAAUCCUAUCUUGGUCACUUAUGGUAUAAUUGUGGCGGGAAAGUUACUCAGCUUUUCUUGUACUUAGUUUUCUCACUAUGAAAAUGAGGAUAAAGAGAGGAUUAGUUGUUAUAAGGAGUGGGCCUGUUUAUAUUGAGUACAUAUUACAGUGUUUCAAUGAUGGGUGGAGAGCCCUCUUCUUAUUCGUAAAUCAUUUCUAUUGAAGGGAUGUCCUCUGUUACUUUGAGUCCACAAUCUCUCUCUCCUGAUGACUGUACACAUCAUUGGUGCAGUGGAGAAGACUGCAUUCAAAGAAAUAUUUCCUGUCAAAAUAUUGACUACCCAGCUUUCUGUGCAAAGAUUUUGGGAGUUUGCGGAUGGUUCUAUGUUCAAGUGUAUGGUCUCUGGGUAAGAGACCAGUGUGCUAGCUUUGAACAGCCAGUUUAGCAGGAUUAAAUGGGGACAGAGUUCCUAAUUUUUUUUAUUAAAGACAUCCCAACUGGAUUUAUUGAAUUUUUGUUUAGAACUUCACUAGCAAUAUUCUGAAAUUUUAUUUGGAGGCAACUUUUCUUAAUUAAAAUAAUAGAUUUCCUACACAAAGCAGACAUCAGAGACAUGAGGUGGUGCUGUUGGACUGUAGGCAAAUAGGUGGAGCAGUUUGUCUCAGGGGAAGGGUUUCUGGGAAAGCUACAUGGAAGAUUGAAUCUCAGCAAAUAGAAAAUGGACAUGGAUUAGUGACUUGGGAGAUUUGAUGGCUACUUCUUACAUCAAGAAAAUCUGAAUUUCAGAGAUGCUUGUGAAUCCGAAUGGAGGAAGACACACUAAAGAUCAUCUGACUUUUGCAAAAGCAAAGUUCAAUGAUCCAGGAAAAGCAAGUCAAGAAGGCAUGGGAUUUGUAAGUGGAGAUACAUCUUCACACAGCAAAGCAAGAUUCAAGAUGACAAAUGCUUUAAGAGUGAGCCAUGGUGUGAUGGUUUGAAGACAUUGUUCCAGCUGACUCUAUUACAAAUGAGGGUGCACAUUGACUGGAACAUAAGGUUUAUCUUAUCUCGGGAGUUUUUACCUAAUGAACGAAAAGAUCCCUGCAAAGAAGUGUCACAUUGUCCCUGGUACCACGUCCAACUGGUGACCGAGCAGUGGAGUGGCAAUGUCACAGAGUCUGCACGGCAUGAAGAAGCUCUUAAGUGCUGCAUAGCAAAGAAGUCUGGAACUGAAAUAAGACAGUGGCUUGGUCAAGGAGGCUACAGCGUGAAGGGAGCUGGCGUGACUUGGUAUCAGUGGCACUUCUGGACAAAGGCUUUGGAAGUGUCUGUAUUUUUUUCCAGAGAGGCUGGUGGAACAGGGGACAUGAAAAUUUGUGAUGUUAAGGUGAGAUUCUUCCAGUCGUGCUACGUUCACCUACAAACAAUCCACAAGGCAUGGACAACAGCAAGGAACACAGGAAAGGAUGAAAAUCCAGGGGUUGUCAGUAUCUCUCUUGUGAGCUGCUAUUUGGAAACCACUUUGUUGCCGUCAUCUUUCUGAGGUCUCUUAGAUGCCUCAAAUUUUACUGUUAUAUUUGGAUCCUAAAUGUCCAUGCACCUGGAAGAACUGUUGUAGAAAAUGUAUUCCCUCAUGGACAGCUCUUGAUUCCUAUUAUUUUAAUUCUCAAUUCUUUCCCUGCUUCUAGUCUACCUAUGGACCCUCUAAGACCCAUUUUCAUAAGAUUCACUGGUAACAUUACUGAUAUAUCAGUUGUGCAAUGAGGAGAUACAAAUUUUAAUAUAUUAGCCCCUUGAUCCCUGCUAAAAUUCGAUUCAGCCAAAAUUCCAUCAUAGCUCUAUCUCAAUUGCAGCCAGAAAUAACUUCCUGCAAGAGGGAGUGCCUGGCCUAUAUUCACAUGGUAAGGUGAUGUGUAUACAGAAUACCCAGCUGAGACCUGGAUGCCUGAAAUCGCUGGGACUGUGAUAUUACCUUUGGCACGGGACAGUUUCUGUAUUAUUGGAAAUGUCACACUUGUACCUCCUGUAAUAGGGAACUUAAGGGAAAUGGUUUCUUUAGUUCAAGAAAGUUAACAUACUCGAAUGAAUGAGACAUUUCAGUUGUUAGGAGUACCUCUGGGUUUGUUUGUUGUUUGAUACUUCCAAUGACAGCAUCAUAGUUGACUCAAUAAAUAUUGCAGUAGUUUCACAAAUGUUUGUGAACCUCUCGUGCUUUUCAAGAUAUUCCCCUCCUGAAUCUGAUUUUUAUGUGAGACCUGGUUUAACACUAUUUUAGAUCAAAAAAUUUGCAUGACCACUGUAACAACUCGGAAUGCACACAUAUAUAUUCACAGAAGUUAACAUAAGUCAGGUUCAAGUUAUAUAUGCUUAUUAGUCUUUACUGUUCUCAGCAAGGGAGAGCUCACAUUAAAAAGAGGUCUUAGGAACCUAGUCUAACCCCUAGCAAUAGUGAAUGCACAAGGUUUUUUGUUGAAUGAAGGAAUUAGUUGGUAGAUGAAGGAUAGAAUUAAAUGUUCCAAUGGAAAGAGAAAAUAUGAAAAAUGAAAACCUUGCCACACUGGGGAUGGAGAUGAGCAACAGGUCAUAGGGCAGCAAAAUGUUUAAAGAAAUAAGGAAUAGAGAAAAAGCAUCAGCUGAUAAUGCAUGGAAAUAGUCCUAGUUACUAACAGGGAAACAUGGUGACAUUCAUCUUCCAUAAAAAUUAUUCAGAGUAGGAAUCUAAAAUCCAAAAUGCUUUUUCAUUAAGUCUUGUAGUCUUAGAAAAAAAAUGUUCUGGAGGAGUGCUAGAGAAUUUAACUGGGAGUCAGAAGGUUUCCAUUCCUCGUUUAUAACCCUGACUAUGUUUGGGGUAUUCAGCAAGUCCCAUGAUCUUUAUGGAGCUUAGAUUUCUCACCUGAAAAUUAUGUUUCAGCAAGAUUUCAUUGAAAAUAAGGGUAUGGUGACUACAAAUACCAUGAAGGAUCUCUAAAGCCUACUAAUGUAAAUAGUCAAGACUCAGAGGAUUCUCUUUUUAAAAAUUAUUUAACAUUAGAGCAAUUUUCAAGAUGCGGAAUAAGCUAGAACCAAGCAACUCAAAACGAAAUCAGUGAACAAGUUGGCUAGAUAUUGGCUCUGCCCUAGCAAAGGUUUGGGCCCACUAAAGGGAAGAGGGACAUGGCUUCUCUUUCUGUGGGAAUCCCGAAUAUUUUUCAUUAUUGCUGUUAGGAUGUGACCCAAGGAACUUAGAAGUUAGCUGCCUGCCUGGAAUACUGUGCCACAUAUCCAUAGAUAAGAUUAGUUCAGAGUGGUAGAAAAAAACACAGCUCUGAGGUCAACUUCAGGGGUGAGAGCAAAUGAAAUGUGUACAGAGGCCUUUGGGAAACUGUACAAUAUCGAAUUUUAACAUGGAAUUUACCUCAUUGUUGCAGAAACAGUAGAUAGUCGCCACAAAGAAUCCCUGAAAAGAAAAGGAAAAACAGAGUCGAAGUUGUUUUUGCAUGCAUCAUGUUGUUUAAUAAUCACUGGAAGGAGAUUUCCUGGAGAGGAACAUUUCGCUACUGCAAUAGCAAGUCAAGGCUCAAUGAAAUAUAAAGGCAAGAAAAAGAUGCUUAUCACUGGUAUUCAGCAAUGCACUGCAACCACAUUGCACCAUGUGCUUUUAUUGUUAGGAUUCCAUCAUUUGAGUAUAAGUCUAGCUCUACUACAUCUGGUUAAUGUACUGCUUCCUUUAACACAGAGAUUUACAACAGAAUAUGCUGAUUGCAGUGGCUUUGAAAAGAAUGUACUUAAAAAUGGCUAAAACUGAGAUCCUGUUGAGUUCAGUAGAGAAAUUUAUAAGCAGAAGCAUCACAGCAGGUGACUGGGGGCCUGCCUGUGUCCUGGGUUGCCAAGGUGUACGAGGGCAGCACUGUACCCACAUCCAAAUUCAUGCCUCAAAGACAUGGACUAAGGAACCCCUGAGGUCUUCAUCACUGUUAAACAAUAGCUCAGAUUAUUUAAAUCUUUAAAUUUUCUUUUUAGAACUCUGUUUUGACCAACUUCUCAUUCUAAGAUUUGUUUUCAUCAGUAGAAAAUAAAACUAACUGGAAAUUUGAAAUUGAGAUGGCAAAAUGCUGGCCUAACAGCUUGUAGUAGAAUCAUCUCUGCCUUAGGACCUCUUGUGUUCCAUCUUGCUUUCAAAAUACCCAGCACUACUGGCCUUCCGGGGUGGGGAGUGCUCAUCUAGGGCAGAGUCAACAGAAAUAGGGCAGGGGAAGACACCAGCUGGCCUAGCACAGCACCUGAGAUCCUACUGCAUUCUCUCCUAUGUGAGGACAAACUCCUUCUACAGCCAGUGAAUGGGCAUGGAUGCAUCCCUGACAUUUGUCUGACAAUGGGAGGGUGAUAGAACAGGAGGCACAGGUAGCUCUGUGCAAGUUCAUUACUCCUUAUCUCCCCGGAGUCGGUGCUGAUUUAGGGAAAGAGGUUCUGACAAUCACAGUAGUUAGGGGUGUGACCAACUGAGGUCCAGGAAUAUUGGGAAAGCAGGCACAAGUGCCUCAAAACAAAAAUCUGGUCUCCGUUAGAAUGCUGGCUGGGCUUGCUGUAUUGGAGGCUGUCGAUUACAUUUAGGGUCAUGGGCUUUAGAAUUGGAAAUCAACUCACAACACAAGUAAUUAACAAAAUACGCCAUUGGCGUCCCUACCUGGAAGUGAAUCAGAGAGUGCAUGAGGUAAUCGUAGAUCUUCCCAAGAAUCUUGUUGGAGGGCCUCCAGGGGAAGACGACAAACUGGAUU